GAGUUGAUUCGGGCUCCGGCCCGAUCCUCCCACCCUUUGUGUACCUACCUCUGUUGCUUUGGCGGGCCGCGGUCCUCCGCGGCCGCCCCCCUCCCCGGGGGGGUGGCCAGCGCCCGCCAGAGGACCAUCAAACUCCAGUCAGUAAACGAUGCAGUCUGAAAAACAUUUAAUAAACUAAAACUUUCAACAACGGAUCUCUUGGUUCUGGCAUCGAUGAAGAACGCAGCGAAAUGCGAUAAGUAAUGUGAAUUGCAGAAUUCAGUGAAUCAUCGAAUCUUUGAACGCACAUUGCGCCCUUUGGUAUUCCGAAGGGCAUGCCUGUUCGAGCGUCAUUACAACCCUCAAGCUCUGCUUGGUAUUGGGCACCGUCCUUUGCGGGCGCGCCUCAAAGACCUCGGCGGUGGCGUCUUGCCUCAAGCGUAGUAGAACAUACAUCUCGCUUCGGAGCGCAGGGCGUCGCCCGCCGGACGAACCUUCUGAACUUUUCUCAAGGUUGACCUCGGAUCAGGUAGGGAUACCCGCUGAACUUAAGC
Molecule: ribosomal RNA, 533 nt
Filed under: Botryosphaeria dothidea
Lineage: Eukaryota; Fungi; Ascomycota; Dothideomycetes; Botryosphaeriales; Botryosphaeriaceae
Description: eukaryotic LSU rRNA
Rfam family: 5.8S ribosomal RNA (bases 179-332)
Source: RNAcentral